Tupaia belangeri chinensis (Chinese tree shrew) is the source of this 265-nucleotide long non-coding RNA. RefSeq lists it as uncharacterized. NCBI's taxonomy places the organism in Eukaryota, Metazoa, Chordata, Mammalia, Scandentia, Tupaiidae. The record is from RefSeq and is a predicted model, not a curated record. The transcript is spliced from 3 exons.
UUUCCUAAGGCUGAAAACUGAAAUCUUCACCAUGGAGACUGCAUAUUCUUUAUUGGGUUAGAACAGAAUAUAGAUAAGGACCUGAGCAGCAACGGCUGAGGAAGGUGCUUUCCAUGGGCUGAGGUUCCCGAGAACGUUGCUCCCUCCCUCAUACCUUCCUGCCACCUGACCCUUCAGUCCUCUCACCCCACCUCUGUGAGGGGACCCAGAGAGAAACAGCCUCUCCGUCGAAGCAACGUCUCUCCAGAGACCCCUGUCCCAGCUC